CCCGUUGAAAGACGGACUAAUUCCUGAUGGUAUGUAUUUUUCUCAUGAAUUAUACAUUAAAGAAUUUCGGUAUUGGAUGGGGAUGCGUCUGAUUAGUUUGUUGGUGAGGUAACGGCUCACCAAGACUUCGAUCAGUAGGGGUUCUGAGAGGAAGGUCCCCCACAUUGGAACUGAGACACGGUCCAAACUCCUACGGGAGGCAGCAGUGAGGAAUAUUGGUCAAUGGGCGCAAGCCUGAACCAGCCAAGUAGCGUGCAGGAAGACGGCCCUAUGGGUUGUAAACUGCUUUUAUACGAGAAUAAUUUGAUGCACGUGUGCGUUAUUGCAUGUAUCGUAUGAAUAAGGACCGGCUAAUUCCGUGCCAGCAGCCGCGGUAAUACGGAAGGUCCAGGCGUUAUCCGGAUUUAUUGGGUUUAAAGGGAGUGUAGGCGGUUUGUUAAGCGUGUUGUGAAAUUUAGGUGCUCAACAUUUAACUUGCAGCGCGAACUGUCAGACUUGAGUACA
Molecule: ribosomal RNA, 504 nt
Filed under: uncultured bacterium
Lineage: Bacteria
Description: bacterial SSU rRNA
Rfam family: Bacterial small subunit ribosomal RNA
Source: RNAcentral